AUGAUGAAGACAAGUUGGUCGUUUAAGAAAAUGAGCAAGGAACAAUUGCGACCGUGGAAAUUCUCUAAUGUGUUUCAAUGGAAACGACUUCAUCUACGAACGGCGAUCAUGGACACUGUUGUUUAUAAGAUAAUUUAUGUUGUAGAAGGUGUUGUAAUCGUUUCUUCGUUUUGCUUCUUCUAUGUUUUCUGUGGCUUUUGA
This is a non-coding RNA of Vicia faba (fava bean), 201 nucleotides long. Lineage: Eukaryota; Viridiplantae; Streptophyta; Magnoliopsida; Fabales; Fabaceae. The record is from the annotation of a GenBank genome assembly.